This 1333-nucleotide long non-coding RNA is filed under the name Monodelphis domestica (gray short-tailed opossum). RNAcentral's name for it is "lncRNA (ENSMODG00000030768.2)". Lineage: Eukaryota; Metazoa; Chordata; Mammalia; Didelphimorphia; Didelphidae. The record is from RNAcentral.
AAUGAGGACAAAAGUUGCAGCAGUGAAGAGACAAAUGGGAUGGUACCUGGAUGGGUGUAAGAGUUAUGGAAAAGCUUAUUUAGCAAAGGUGAGAAGAAGAGAAGGAGGCAGAGAAGAGGUAAGAUUGAAGAUGAAUAAGGGGAAGGGGAAACCAAAACAAGGUUCUGGAGUCAGGCAGAUCUAGGAGGGAAAGUUCAAAGAGAGAGAUUAACCUUAGCAAGCAGUAGACUGGCUUUUCUUGUUUUGGUGACUGAUGAGACUCUAAAAAAGAUGCUUUGUAUGGAGAAGAAGAGGGAGUAGUCAUACCAGGAGCAAUCUUCAUCUUGUCCUAGAAUAAGAGUUCUCUGAUUCAUAGAUCUCAGGAGGUCUGUGAACUUAGAUGGGAAAAGAAAAUGGCAUCUUUAUUUUUACUAACCUCUAGCUGAAAUUUAUUAUUUCCUUCAAUUAUUUAAAAAAUUAUUCUAAGAAGAGUUUCAUGAUUCCACUAUAUUGUUGAAGGGAUUCAUGACAUAAAAAGUUGAGAACUUCUGAUAUAGAAGAAGAAAUGGGAACAAUAGCCAAGAAGUAGGUUAACAAACUCACAGAGGUCCAGGGAAAAUCUCUCCUGAGACAGCUUGCUGACAAUCUAGAGAGGGUAACUGAGGGGAACCAGUGACCUGGUAUAUCCAAGAUUCUGAUCAGUUGGUUGUUGAGGCAACUGUGUCUUGUAUGCUGUUCUUUUUCUAUCUCCUCUCUCCCAAAGAAGAGAAUCAAUUUUGUUUUAUUUGUCCAUCAUUCUUUCCCCUCUCCUCCCUCUGUCUCUCUGUCUCUCCUUUCCCUCUCCUCCUCCUCUUCCCUCCCCUUUCCCUUCUCUCCCCAACCCACAUACUCAUUUUUGAUGAUAUCUGUGGGAUAGUGAUAGAGAAAAAAAAAACAAUUAUAUCCUCUGUUGCCAAAGCUCCAAGCAACCUGCAUUCAAAGGCAAAGAAUUGGAAACUGAGGACGUUUCCAUCAACUGGGAAUGACUGAACAAGUUAUGGUAGGUAGAUGUCAGGGUAUCCCGUUGCAGUGUAAAAAAGUAAUCAAAGGGAUAGUUUCAGAGAAACCUGAGAAAUCUUAGAUGAAUUAAGGCAGAUUGAAGAUAGCAGAGCCAGGUGAGCAAUUUCUACAUUGACAAUAUUGUAAAGACAAACAACUUUGAAAUAAUUAGGACUCCUCAUCAAUAUAGUGACCGAUCACCAAUCCAAAGGACUCAUAAGAAACAUAUUAUGCACCUCCUGAGAUGAAUGAGACAUCUACUUUUUUUUGGAUGCAGCCAAUGUGGAAAUUUCUCUUGUUUGACUAUAUUUGUAAG